GUGGGGAAUAUUCCGCAAUGGACGAAAGUCUGACGGAGCAACGCCGCGUGAGUGAUGAAGGUUUUCGGACUGUAAAGCUCUGUUGUUUAGGACGAAAGUGCCUGUUGCAAAUAGUUACAGGUAUUGACGGUACUGAACGAGGAAGCCACGGCUAACUACGUGCCAGCAGCCGCGGUAAUACGUAGGUGGCAAGCGUUGUCCGGAAUUAUUUGGCGUAAAGAGAAUGUAGGCGGGAAUCUAAGUCUGUUGUGAAAAUGCGGGGCUCAACCCCGUAUUGCGAUGGAAACUGGGUUUCUUGAGUGCAGGAGAGGAAAGGGGAAUUCCCAGUGUAGCGGUGAAAUGCGUAGAUAUUGGGAGGAACACCAGUGGCGAAGGCGCCUUUCUGGACUGUGUCUGACGCUGAGAUGCGAAAGCCAGGGUAGCGAACGGGAUUAGAAACCCUAGUAGUCC
RNAcentral lists this ribosomal RNA (450 nucleotides) under uncultured bacterium. RNAcentral's name for it is "partial 16S ribosomal RNA". It matches the Rfam family "Bacterial small subunit ribosomal RNA", at positions 354 to 796 of the family's 1533-position model. The record is from RNAcentral.